GCUGGGUGUGGUGACAUAUACCUGUAAUCCCAGCAGCUGAGGAGGCUGAGGCAGGAGGAUAGCAAGUUCAAAGCCAGCCUCAGCAACUUAGCAAAGCCCUAAGCAACUCAGCAAGACCCUGUCUCUA
RNAcentral lists this small RNA (127 nucleotides) under Marmota monax (woodchuck). The record is from RNAcentral. Lineage: Eukaryota; Metazoa; Chordata; Mammalia; Rodentia; Sciuridae.